Macaca fascicularis (crab-eating macaque) is the source of this 98-nucleotide small nucleolar RNA. Lineage: Eukaryota; Metazoa; Chordata; Mammalia; Primates; Cercopithecidae. The record is from Ensembl.
AUCCUUUUGUACUUGGUAAACCUGAUGGUUGGGUUUUUAUGCUCACAUAUGAGAUGUGCCUGUCUCAAACCUUGUUACAACACAUUACCCUUCCCACU